Cynoglossus semilaevis (tongue sole) is the source of this 1763-nucleotide long non-coding RNA. RefSeq lists it as uncharacterized. The transcript is spliced from 2 exons. The record is from RefSeq and is a predicted model, not a curated record. NCBI's taxonomy places the organism in Eukaryota, Metazoa, Chordata, Actinopteri, Pleuronectiformes, Cynoglossidae.
AAGAAGAAGAGGAAGUUUCAAAAGACAGUGUAGAGUCAACAGCGUCAUCACUGGUUCACGUAGUUAGCUCAACAUAGACUAAACCAGUACUUCUCAAAUAGAGGGGGCGGGGCCCCCUGGGGGGCGUGGUGAGGUACCAGGGGGGCAUGAAGAAAUUUCUGCCCCCAAGGGCGGGGGGCAUAACAGAAAAAUGAUUGAGAACCACUGAACUAAACAGUUGCCCGGCUUCACUCUCGCCCCCCGGUGUAUCUGUUUUGGUACCUUUUUAAAUGUCCGUCAUUUCUUAUUUCCCAGCAGACUCACAGUGAGAGCGUGGGUGAAGGGUUAAUGAACGCUGUCAUGACUCAGCGUUAUUCACCCAGUUGUGUUGGUCAUUCUUCCUCUUUAGCAAAAAAAAAUUCUAAAAGACCAAGUGUGGUGUGAAGGACCCCAGGGCUGUCUGUGGACAUGCCUGCUGCAGCAGGUCUGAAAAACUGUGGAGACGCAUGAAAUGAAACGUGAAAGGCAUUAAAUUCAUGGACAGACUGGAAUAAACAAACAAAAAUCCAACCCAGAGUAAAUAACGUCUUUUAAUCGCUGUUUAAUUUAAAACCAACAUUUACUACAAACUAACCAGUACAAUCCUCAAGCACGAUGCAAUAAUGGAUACAGAUAAAAGUCGUAUGAAACCGUUUUUUUCAUAGCAUUGAUCAAAUAUAAAAAAAUGUACAAAACUGUUGACGUGAAAAAUGAGGAAAAUAAAAAAGGAAAUCCCUUUAAUAUUUCCAAGUAAAAAUAUACCUGAGGUACUGUUUCUAUAUGUGUUGAUAUGUGUUGGACUGAAACAUGUAAACAUAUAUUUUCAAGACAAUCAAACAGAGUAAAUAUUUCUUACGUUAAAUCCUUCAAAGUCAUUGAAAACCUUCAUAUAUAUAUAUAAAAAAAUCUAAUUUACAAACGUCACCAGACUGAGAGAGAGUUCAGGCACGAAGAGCUGCAGCAGAACUCACCGCGUCUUUGUCAACAAAUGUAGUUCUCGCAGCAGCAGCGACGUCGUCCACUGCCCUGGUCGUCCACUUCAACCACUUCAUUAACAGGAGCUCAAAGUUUGAUACGAAACACAGCAGUUUGAUAAUAACCAGGUCACUGAUAACCAGGUCAAUAAUAACCAGGUUAAUACUAACCAGGUCAGUAAUAACCAGGUCAGUGGUAACCAAGUCAAUAAUAACCAGGUUAAUAAUAACCAGGUCAGUGAUAACCAGGUCAGUAAUAACCAGGUUAAUAAUAACCAGGUCAGUAAUAACCAGGUCAGUAAUAACCAGGUCAGUAAUAACCAGGUCACUCAGGUCAAUAUUUACAGUAUAAACAACGCUAAGUCGACAACUACAUUUACAAAAUGUAAAAUAAAUACGUUGAUACAGUAUGUGUUGAAUAUGGCUGAUACUUCUUUCGUUACUUCUUUACUCUCAGUUUUACAGUACUGUACCAGGUCAUGUGAUCAAAGUAGCUUUGUGGAGUUAUUUCUACUUUACUACUUCAACUUCCCUCAGAAAGUUUCUUGAAUAUUUACUAUACAGUUACAUGUUGAAACAGGUCAGUACGUGGACGAUACAGCGAUUUACCCACGCAUUCACCAUCCUGUCGAGGUUGGUGUGAAAAAUAACACGUGACAGCGACGACAUUUUUUUUAAAUUCUAGCCACUAAACAACAGGAAACUGUAUUUGUCAGAAAAGGAAGUGUUGUUAUUUAUUUAUAUAUAUAUAUAUAUAUAUAUAUAUAUAAU